UCUCGUCACAACGGUAGCUAUGAUUACAGUAGUCCGGUCCUGCUGCUCCUUGAAUAUGUGGAUAAACUACGUAGUCGGUUGUAAUGUAGCUGGAUCUGUAGUCUCUCUGUGUCGUCUCAUCUCUCUGAUGUCUUAAUGCUUCUGACAACCUGAAACCUCCAGCACAUUACCCACAAACCCCAGACCCCUUUUCCCCUGUCUGAUUUGUUACCCCCCUGUCUUCAGAACCAGGUGACCUAGUCUCUAAUCUGUCUGAGAGAUGGGUUCGCUGUCUUCAGAACCAGGUGACCUAGUCUCUAAUCUGUCUGAGAGAUGGGUUCGCUGUCUUCAGAACCAGGUGACCUAGUCUCUAAUCUGUCUGAGAGAUGGGUUAGCUGUCUUCAGAACCAGGUGACCUAGUCUCUAAUCUGUCUGAGAGAUGGGUUCGCUGUCUUCAGAACCAGGUGACCUAGUCUCUAAUCUGUCUGAGAGAUGGGUUCGCUGUCUUCAGAACCAGGUGACCUAGUCUCUAAUCUGUCUGAGAGAUGGGUUCGCUGUCUUCAGAACCAGGUGACCUAGUCUCUAAUCUGUCUGAGAGAUGGGUUCGCUGUCUUCAGAACCAGGUGACCUAGUCUCUAAUCUGUCUGAGAGAUGGGUUCGCUGUCUUCAGAACCAGGUGACCUAGUCUCUAAUCUGUCUGAGAGAUGGGUUCGCUGUCUUCAGAACCAGGUGACCUAGUCUCUAAUCUGUCUGAGAGAUGGGUUCGCUGUCUUCAGAACCAGGUGACCUAGUCUCUAAUCUGUCUGAGAGAUGGGUUCGCUGUCUUCAGAACCAGGUGACCUAGUCUCUAAUCUGUCUGAGAGAUGGGUUCGCUGUCUUCAGAACCAGGUGACCUAGUCUCUAAUCUGUCUGAGAGAUGGGUUCGCUGUCUUCAGAACCAGGUGACCUAGUCUCUAAUCUGUCUGAGAGAUGGGUUCGCUGUCUUCAGAACCAGGUGACCUAGUCUCUAAUCUGUCUGAGAGAUGGGUUCGCUGUCUUCAGAACCAGGUGACCUAGUCUCUAAUCUGUCUGAGAGAUGGGUUCGCUGUCUUCAGAACCAGGUGACCUAGUCUCUAAUCUGUCUGAGAGAUGGGUUCGCUGUCUUCAGAACCAGGUGACCUAGUCUCUAAUCUGUCUGAGAGAUGGGUUCGCUGUCUUCAGAACCAGGUGACCUAGUCUCUAAUCUGUCUGAGAGAUGGGUUCGCUGUCUUCAGAACCAGGUGACCUAGUCUCUAAUCUGUCUGAGAGAUGGGUUCGCUGUCUUCAGAACCAGGUGACCUAGUCUCUAAUCUGUCUGAGAGAUGGGUUCGCUGUCUUCAGAACUAACCGGGUCAUCGACAUAUAGUUUCUCUUGGAAUUGUUUACCAAAAUUGAAAAACAAAUUCCAAUUGAGUUAGAAAAUGGGGAGUUGUGUCCAUACUACGAUACGCAUCAGAAGUCCCGUAGAGUAAAACCCCACUAAACUAAAGACCAAUGUGUUUCCAUUUAACGCUGCCGGAGUCUGGAACAUUCUAAUAAAUUAAACUGAAAUUAAAGGCGUUGGAUUUAUCACAAAGAGAACCGAGGAACGCUGCCUUUUGUGAAACGUCCUCUUUUAUGGAUCAAAAAAAGGCGUAUAAUUAUUUCAUAUUGGCCGUUAACCCCUUUGCUGUGCAACGGGCCAGUACCAGAUGACUUGUCCUAAUUGAGCCAGUUGUUUGAGACGGGAGACCAACCAGUAACAUGCAGAAAACGUUAUUAAGGCCAAGUCGUUUUGUCUCAACAAUAAAACAUGAUUCAUUAUUAAUCUUUUUUUUUGUGUUAUGAUGUU
Oncorhynchus keta (chum salmon) is the source of this 1828-nucleotide long non-coding RNA. RefSeq lists it as uncharacterized. NCBI's taxonomy places the organism in Eukaryota, Metazoa, Chordata, Actinopteri, Salmoniformes, Salmonidae. The transcript has 4 exons. The record is from RefSeq and is a predicted model, not a curated record.